AGAGUUUGAUCCUGGGCUCAGGAUGAACGCUGGCGGCGUAGCUUAACACGUGCAAGUCGAACGAAGGCGCUUGAAUGGAAUUCUUCGGAAGGAAGCUUAAGUGACUGAGUGGCGGACGGGUGAGUAACGCGUGGGUAACCUGCCUCAUACAGGGGGAUAACAGUUAGAAAUGACUGCUAAUACCGCAUAAGCACACGUGAUCGCAUGAUCGAGUGUGAAAACUCCGGUGGUAUGAGAUGGGCCCGCGUCUGAUUAGCUAGUUGGUGGGGUAACGGCCCACCAAGGCGACGAUCAGUAGCCGGCCCGAGAGGGUGAACGGCCACAUUGGGACUGAGACACGGCCCAAACUCCUACGGGAGGCAGCAGUGGGGAAUAUUGCACAAUGGGGGAAACCCUGAUGCAGCGACGCCGCGUGAAGGAUGAAGUAUUUCGGUAUGUAAACUUCUAUCAGCAGGGAAGAAAAUGACGGUACCUGACUAAGAAGCCCCGGCUAACUACGUG
This 501-nucleotide ribosomal RNA is filed under the name uncultured Eubacteriales bacterium. RNAcentral describes it as "bacterial SSU rRNA". It matches the Rfam family "Bacterial small subunit ribosomal RNA", at positions 8 to 507 of the family's 1533-position model. Lineage: Bacteria; Bacillati; Bacillota; Clostridia; Eubacteriales. The record is from RNAcentral.